This 741-nucleotide ribosomal RNA is filed under the name uncultured bacterium. RNAcentral's name for it is "bacterial SSU rRNA". It matches the Rfam family "Bacterial small subunit ribosomal RNA", at positions 763 to 1504 of the family's 1533-position model. The record is from RNAcentral.
GGGGAGCAAACAGGAUUAGAUACCCUGGUAGUCCACGCCCUAAACGAUGUCUACUAGUUGUCGGGUCUUAAUUGACUUGGUAACGCAGCUAACGCGUGAAGUAGACCGCCUGGGGAGUACGGUCGCAAGAUUAAAACUCAAAGGAAUUGACGGGGACCCGCACAAGCGGUGGAUGAUGUGGAUUAAUUCGAUGCAACGCGAAAAACCUUACCUACCCUUGACAUGGUUGGAAUCUUUGAGAGAUCAGAGAGUGCUCGCAAGAGAACCAAUACACAGGUGCUGCAUGGCUGUCGUCAGCUCGUGUCGUGAGAUGUUGGGUUAAGUCCCGCAACGAGCGCAACCCUUGUCAUUAAUUGCCAUCAUUUAGUUGGGCACUUUAAUGAGACUGCCGGUGACAAACCGGAGGAAGGUGGGGAUGACGUCAAGUCCUCAUGGCCCUUAUGGGUAGGGCUUCACACGUCAUACAAUGGUACAUACAGAGGGUUGCCAAGCCGCGAGGUGGAGCUAAUCCCAGAAAGUGUAUCGUAGUCCGGAUUGGAGUCUGCAACUCGACUCCAUGAAGUUGGAAUCGCUAGUAAUCGCGGAUCAGCAUGUCGCGGUGAAUACGUUCCCGGGUCUUGUACACACCGCCCGUCACACCAUGGGAGCGGGUUUCACCAGAAGUAGGUAGCUUAACCGCAAGGAGGGCGCUUACCACGGUGGGAUUCGUGACUGGGGUGAAGUCGUAACAAGGUAACCGUA